RNAcentral lists this long non-coding RNA (664 nucleotides) under Marmota monax (woodchuck). The record is from RNAcentral. Lineage: Eukaryota; Metazoa; Chordata; Mammalia; Rodentia; Sciuridae.
GCAGCGCUACUGUUAAGUUCACAAGUUCAAGUCCAGAAAAAAAAAAAAGUGGAUAAUCCACUCUGCUGACUUUCAAGAUUAUUAUAUUAUUCAAUUCUCAGGAAUGUUGCAGAGUGGUUGUCCAGUUCAUGAGAACUUUCAUCCUUAUUAGGUGGAAUAUUUGGAUAAGAAUCAGACAUUGCUGAUCUGAUACAGAAACCAGCCCCCCACCCCCUAAUUUGCAGAAAAAGUAAAGCAGGACCAAUAGAAGUAAUUAGCAAAAGGAUGAACAUGCAGGAAAGUGAAUGAUGGUUCAUUGUUCUUCUUUCCUGAAACAGUGAUCCCUUCUAGGGGCUGAUCUGGCCGAAGUAUUAAAUAAAACGUUAAGAUUUCUUCAUUAUUGAUAUUGUGGUCAUGUAUAUUUAAAAUUGAUGUCCUGUGGCCCUCAUUAAGAUCUGGAAAAAGAUUUGUAUUUCCCCUCUACCUUGUCGGGGAGCUCUCUAUGCCCCAAAGUACCUAAUUUUCUAACUUUGCCCAACACACAGCAAAAUUGUGCACAUCAUGUUUUCUGCCCACACCCUGUACUCUGACUGAUCAGCUUGCUAUUCUUACCAAGGUAAUGUGUUUGAACACAUUUCUCCAAGUGUUAAACCUAUUUCAGAUAAUAAAUAUCAAACCUCUGGCA